This 390-nucleotide ribosomal RNA is filed under the name uncultured Methanosaeta sp. Its description in RNAcentral is "bacterial SSU rRNA". It matches the Rfam family "Archaeal small subunit ribosomal RNA", at positions 949 to 1338 of the family's 1478-position model. The record is from RNAcentral. Lineage: Archaea; Methanobacteriati; Methanobacteriota; Methanomicrobia; Methanotrichales; Methanotrichaceae.
GAAGGUCAGGCUGAAGACCUUACCCGAUUAGCUGAGAGGUGGUGCAUGGCCGUCGUCAGUUCGUACUGUGAAGCAUCCUGUUAAGUCAGGCAACGAGCGAGACCCACGUCCACAGUUGCCAGCAUACCCUCCGGGGUGAUGGGUACACUGUGGAGACCGCCGCUGCUAAAGCGGAGGAAGGAGUGGGCAACGGUAGGUCAGUAUGCCCUGAAUCUCCCGGGCUACACGCGGGCUACAAUGGUUGGUACAAUGGGCAUCUACCCCGAAAGGGGAAGGAAAUCUCUUAAAGCCAAUCGUAGUUCGGAUUGAGGGCUGCAACUCGCCCUCAUGAAGCUGGAAUCCGUAGUAAUCGCGUUUCAACAGAACGCGGUGAAUACGUCCCUGCUCCUU